AUACCCCAUAAUAUUUAGAAUGGCAUCAUUUUAAAUUGAAAACUCCGGUGGAUAGAGAUGGGCACGCGCAAGAUUAGAUAGUUGGUGAGGUAACGGCUCACCAAGUCUGCGAUCUUUAGGGGGCCUGAGAGGGUGAUCCUCCACACUGGUACUGAGACACGGACCAGACUCCUACGGGAGGCAGCAGUGAGGAAUAUUGGACAAUGGGUGCGAGCCUGAUCCAGCCAUCCCGCGUGAAGGACGACUGCCCUAUGGGUUGUAAACUUCUUUUGUAUAGGGAUAAACCUACCCUCGUGAGGGUAGCUGAAGGUACUAUACGAAUAAGCACCGGCUAACUCCGUGCCAGCAGCCGCGGUAAUACGGAGGGUGCAAGCGUUAUCCGGAUUUAUUGGGUUUAAAGGGUCCGUAGGCGGAUCUGUAAGUCAGUGGUGAAAUCUCACAGCUUAACUGUGAAACUGCCAUUGAUACUGCAGGUCUUGAGUGUUGUUGAAGUAGCUGGAAUAAGUAGUGUAGCGGUGAAAUGCAUAGAUAUUACUUAGAACACCAAUUGCGAAGGCAGGUUACUAAGCAACAACUGACGCUGAUGGACGAAAGCGUGGGGAGCGAACAGGAUUAGAUACCCUGGUAGUCCACGCCGUAAACGAUGCUAACUCGUUUUUGGGAUGUAAGUUUCAGAGACUAAGCGAAAGUGAUAAGUUAGCCACCUGGGGAGUACGUUCGCAAGAAUGAAACUCAAAGGAAUUGACGGGGGCCCGCACAAGCGGUGGAUUAUGUGGUU
This 778-nucleotide ribosomal RNA is filed under the name Chryseobacterium sp. AO2_02. RNAcentral describes it as "bacterial SSU rRNA". It matches the Rfam family "Bacterial small subunit ribosomal RNA", at positions 166 to 946 of the family's 1533-position model. The record is from RNAcentral. Lineage: Bacteria; Pseudomonadati; Bacteroidota; Flavobacteriia; Flavobacteriales; Weeksellaceae.